UACAGAGGGGGCAAGCGUUAUUCGGAAUUAUUGGGCGUAAAGGGCGCGUAGGCGGCUUUGUAAGUCAGUGGUGAAAUAUGGCAGCUCAACUGUCAGGGUGCCAUUGAUACUGCGGAGCUUGAGUACAGAUGAGGUAGGCGGAAUUGACGGUGUAGCGGUGAAAUGCUUAGAUAUCGUCAAGAACACCGAUAGCGAAGGCAGCUUACUGGGCUGUAACUGACGCUGAGGCACGAAAGUGUGGGGAUCAAACAGG
This 253-nucleotide ribosomal RNA is filed under the name uncultured bacterium. RNAcentral's name for it is "partial 16S ribosomal RNA". It matches the Rfam family "Bacterial small subunit ribosomal RNA", at positions 524 to 776 of the family's 1533-position model. The record is from RNAcentral.